CCCCUAGGUGUUCUGGGCCGCACGCGCGCUACACUGAACAGUUCAACAAGUCUUAACCUUGGCCGAUAGGUCUGGGUAAUCUUUGAACGCUGUUCGUGAUUGGGAUAGACCUUUGCAAUUAUGGGUCUUCAACGAGGAAUUCCUAGUAAACGCAAGUCAUCAGCUUGCAUUGAUUACGUCCCUGCCCUUUGUACACACCGCCCGUCGCACCUACCGAUUGAAUGGUCCGGUGAAAUCUCGGGACGGCGGCUUGGUCGCUUGCGUCCGACUGCUGAAACUUGAUUAAACCAUAUCAUUUAGAGGAAGGUGAAGUCGUANCA
Molecule: ribosomal RNA, 320 nt
Filed under: uncultured eukaryote
Lineage: Eukaryota
Description: partial 18S ribosomal RNA
Rfam family: Eukaryotic small subunit ribosomal RNA
Source: RNAcentral